RNAcentral lists this ribosomal RNA (160 nucleotides) under Vibrio harveyi. Its description in RNAcentral is "partial 16S ribosomal RNA". It matches the Rfam family "Bacterial small subunit ribosomal RNA", at positions 121 to 283 of the family's 1533-position model. The record is from RNAcentral. Lineage: Bacteria; Pseudomonadati; Pseudomonadota; Gammaproteobacteria; Vibrionales; Vibrionaceae.
GGAAAUUGCCCUGAUGUGGGGGAUAACCAUUGGAAACGAUGGCUAAUACCGCAUAAUGCCUACGGGCCAAAGAGGGGGACCUUCGGGCCUCUCGCGUCAGGAUAUGCCUAGGUGGGAUUAGGUAGUUGGUGAGGUAAUGGCUCACCAAGGCGACGAUCCC